CACGCAGGCGGCCUUUUAAGUUUGACGUGAAAGCUCCCGGCUUAACUGGGAGAGGUCGUUGAAGACUGGAAGGCUUGAGACGAUGAGAGGGGUGCAGAAUUCCCGGUGUAGUGGUGGAAUGCGUAGAUAUCGGGAGGAAUACCAGUGGCGAAAGCGGCACCCUGGCAUCGGUCUGACGCUCAUGUGCGAAGGCGUGGGGAGCGAACG
RNAcentral lists this ribosomal RNA (207 nucleotides) under uncultured bacterium. RNAcentral's name for it is "partial 16S ribosomal RNA". It matches the Rfam family "Bacterial small subunit ribosomal RNA", at positions 568 to 774 of the family's 1533-position model. The record is from RNAcentral.